RNAcentral lists this unclassified non-coding RNA (220 nucleotides) under soil metagenome. Its description in RNAcentral is "partial contains 5.8S ribosomal RNA, internal transcribed spacer 2, and large subunit ribosomal RNA". The record is from RNAcentral.
AACCAUUCUCACCUGCGGCUAGACCUGCGGAAGGAUCAUUACAGAGUUGCAAAACUCCCUAAACCAUUGUGAACCUACCUUCUACCGUUGCUUCGGCGGGCGGGCCUAGCGCCCCCCCGGCCCCCCGCGGGCGCCCGCCGGAGGAUAACCAAACUCUUGACAUCAGUGGCCUCUCUGAGUAUUCUUUACUGAAUAAGUCAAAACUUUCAGCAAUGGAUCU